CUUCUAACCUUCCUCUUGCCCUGUCCUCCUUGGUUGCUGACAGUUGGUUUGUGGCAGAGGGGAAUUCCAGCCCACUUUAGGGGAAUGAAGAGGUGGGUUCCUGGCGCAGAAGGUGAAGUCCAGGAGGGAAAUGCGCGGCUUAAGAGCACAUGCUGUUGAGUUAGAAACCAAACUGGGACUAUGACCUCAGCUCUAACACUGAGUGGAAGGCUCUUUCUGUUCCUCUCAUGCUGCUCUUCCACCUGAAAAGGAAAAGAAGACCUCCCUUAAUCCCUGUCACACGGCUCCGCGCUCCCAAGAAGAGCCAGCUGACAGAGCCCAGCACCUCUUGUUGCAGGCCUUCUGCACUUCAGGCUGUCACCUGACACUCAUGAAAGAGAGAGAUCAUUUUCUGGAUCCUGUUUGAUUUGAGAAGCAGCUGACAUCUGGGAUGAGCUUUCUCCUCUAUGUCUCCAGGAAAAAGAUCUGGAGAUGGUGGGAGUGCGGAACCGAGCGCCUGAGAAAUGACCACAGGACCAAGAACAGCCAACAAGCUGCUGGGGACCGUCAUUGCACCGGCCUGAUGAUGGGAUAAUUAACACAAAAGCCGUGUCUAGGAGCGAAAGACACAAGCAGCUCUUGGGAGCGGUCACUAAAGGCAGUUUCUUAAAAGCCCUGAGAAGUAUGAUUUGAAAGAGACUGCUUCUGGAAUGUCGAGGCCUAUAUGUUGCAAUACUCAUUUUCUAGUCUUUUCUGGGGUUUAGCUGGCCCUUGUCUUCCAUUCAUGGUAGCACUAAGACCAAGAACUACCUGAGCUCUCAGAGGUCCUGGAGUGAACAGGCCAGUGUUUUAACAACUCAUAAGUCUCUGAGUGGGUGCUGUGUCGAUGGACGUUUAAGCUAAUCUUUCAUCCCCGAGAAAUUGCAUCUAUAAAAGUUGGGUUCUGCAUUUGAAAAACUUGGAUCAGUUGGUUAUCCCAGAAACAAUACCCCCCCACCCCUCCCCGACAAUGAACCUUUAAAAUCCUGGUAAAAACCAGAGUUCUCUUGCAUCAACCUUUUGUCCUGAGUGUUGAGCAGGAAGAUGCUGCCUGGUGGAAGGAGGAAGGAAAUGAGUGAGAUUCCUCUUGUAGAUUACCUCCAAGCUGUCACCAAACCAUGCUGCUCCCUUCAGAACAGCCUCAGAAAGACGGGUGACCUUCAACUACCCAGGACUUCCCCACUAUGCCCCACAUGAAUCCUCACCAUGUUUGCCAUUUAAUC
Equus caballus (horse) is the source of this 1241-nucleotide long non-coding RNA. The record is from Ensembl. NCBI's taxonomy places the organism in Eukaryota, Metazoa, Chordata, Mammalia, Perissodactyla, Equidae.